AAAAAAAGAAGAGAAAAACAGAGGGGAGAGCUGACAGAUUAUUGAAAGAAAACCGUGAGGGAGAGAGAGAGAACCAAGCUUUUGGAGAGGGACCGAAAGGGAGAAGAAAGCUGAGAACAACGUGAGAGAGGGCUUGUAGAAGAGAGGAAUGAAACUGAAGAAGAAGACAGAGGAAGAAGAGUAGCAGAACAGAGAGAGGGAACAACGAAAAAAACUGACCCAAGGUGACGGUGAACAGAAACAGAGGAGAGAAAGAAAGAGGACAGCCGCCGACUACACCGCCGCUGCCGCCUCCGCUGCCGCCAGCGUCGCCACCGUUCCAGGUACUCGUCUUCCCCCUGUUGCCUUUCGUUUAUACAUUCAGUGGUUUGUUUUCAUUCUUUGCAUGCAGAACGUGAAUCACGUUCUGCAGCAAAGAAUGAAAAUAAUUCGGUAGUUACUGUGCUGGGCACAGUAACUACCUUAUUAUUUGCUGGUUACUGUGUGGCUAACACAGUAACCAGCCUUUUGGUUGGUGGGCUGGAACAUCAGCCCAGCCCACGCGGCUGGGCUGAGUCCAGCCCACAGUAUAUGGGCCGGGUCAGGCCCAUCCCAGGAUGGAUGGGCUAGAUCCGGCCCAGUUUUUAUUUAUUUAUUUUUGUUAAUUAAAUUGGUUUUAUUUUUGUUUUUUUUGUAAUUUUACAAGUUUCCCGUGUAUUUUUGAUUAAUAUCAAGCAGCAUUUUUUUAUGUUGGGAAAAAAUAUAAAUCCGGUAUUAAAAUACCCCGUUUUCGUUCCGUGGUACUGUUCACCCGCCCAUUCAAAAAAAAAAAUCAAAAAAUAUUUGUUUCAUUUAUAAUUUUUCCGCGUAAUUUUUUAUGUCAUUUUGAUUAAUAUUGGGUGAUAUGUUUUUUAUGUUGUUAAAAAUACAAAAAUCUGAUUUUUAAAUUCCCGGUUUUCGUCAAAAAAUUUUCCACAAGAUACAAAAAAAAAAAAAAAAAAAAUGUUUUUGUGCAUACGGCCAAGUGUCUCAAAGCUAAAAAUUUAUAUUGUAUUUUUAAUACACAAAAAAAAAAAAUGUUUUAGCAUGCAUUUUGGCUUUAAUAACCAGUUUAUUAAAGUCAAGAGAAUAUUGGCCAAUAUUUCAAAAACAACAAAAAUUUUAUUUUUUGGACAAUAAAACCUAGGGUAUGACAUUACACGUAAUGCAUAUUCCGGAUAUUUAAUUUUUAUUUUUGGACAAUAAAACCUGGGGUAUGAUAUUACACGUAAUGCGUAUUCCGGAUAUUUAAUUCUUUUUUUUUUUGUUUGGACAAUAGAACCCGGGGUAUGACAUUACAUGUAAUGCAUAUUUUGGACAAUAGGAAACCAUAACAUGACUUAGGUUUUAUUAGACAAAACAAUGCAGCCUACCUUAGGUAGGGCGUAGUUGGGGUGCUAACACCUUCCCUUUACGCAACCAGUCUCCGUACCUGAUCUCUCAAGACCAGUAAGGGUUCCUAGUAACCAGAAUACUAGGUGGCGACU
Molecule: long non-coding RNA, 1505 nt
Filed under: Populus tremula
Lineage: Eukaryota; Viridiplantae; Streptophyta; Magnoliopsida; Malpighiales; Salicaceae
Description: long non-coding RNA (PTRE_LNC002957)
Source: RNAcentral